RNAcentral lists this transfer RNA (57 nucleotides) under Trimorphodon biscutatus. Its description in RNAcentral is "tRNA-Ser". Lineage: Eukaryota; Metazoa; Chordata; Lepidosauria; Squamata; Colubridae. The record is from RNAcentral.
GGGGGUAAUAAGACCUGCUAACUCUUUCUCCUGGGAAUAAUAACCAGCCCCCUCUAC